UCAUAUUACCAGCUAACAGUGACAGUUCAAUUUCCUCUUUACCCAUUUGGAUACCAUUUUUUUUUUCUCUUGUCUGUCUGCUCUGGUUAGGACUUCCAGUACUAUGUUGAAGAGGAGUGGUGAGAGUGGGCAUGGUUAUCUUGGUCCAGUUCUCAGAGGGAAUGCUUUCAACUUUUCCCCAUUGAGUAUAAUGUUGGCUGUGGAUUUGUCACAGAUGGCUUUUAUUACAUUGAGAAGACACCGUUAAGAAAACAAAGAAGUGGAUGUUCCAAGAUGGCCAAAUAGGAACAGCUCUGGUGUGCAGUUCCCAGCGAGAAUACAGAGGUGUUCUUGGAGAUAUUUCUGUGUCAAUGCAUAGGAUUCUACCACCUUUGCAUACAAUUGACACUUGAACAACACUGGUUUAAAAUGCAAGAUUCCAGUUAUAUGUGGACUUUCACCUCUGCCACCCCAGACAUCAAGUCAACCCCUCCUUUUCUUCCCCCUUUUCAGCCUACUCAAUGUGAAGAUGAUGAAAAUGAAAACUUUCAUGAUGAUCCACUUCCACUUAAUAAAUAGUAAAUAUGGUUCUCUUUCUGUGACUUUCUUGGUAAUUUUAAAAAUUUUCCAUUUUUCUGGGUUCAUAGGUGUAUAUAUUUAUGGGGUACAUGAGAUUAUUUGAUACAGGCUUGCAGUCUGAAAUAAUCACAUUGUAGAAGAUGGGGUAUCCCUCCCUUUAAGCAUUUAUCCUUUGUGUUACAGACAAUCCAAUUAUACUCUUUCAGUUAUUUCAAAAUAUUCAAUUAAAUUAUUGACUAUAGUCACCCUGUUGUGCUAUCAAAUAUUAGCCCUUAUUCAUUCAUUCUAAUUAUAUUUUGUACCCAUUAACUAUUCCCACCUCCACUUGACUCCCCUACUCUCCUUCCCUUCUUCUGGUAACCAUCCUUUUACUCUCU
Long non-coding RNA from Callithrix jacchus (white-tufted-ear marmoset), 935 nucleotides. RefSeq lists it as uncharacterized. Lineage: Eukaryota; Metazoa; Chordata; Mammalia; Primates; Cebidae. The record is from RefSeq and is a predicted model, not a curated record.